RNAcentral lists this unclassified non-coding RNA (286 nucleotides) under Ascomycota sp. RNAcentral's name for it is "partial contains small subunit ribosomal RNA, internal transcribed spacer 1, and 5.8S ribosomal RNA". The stretch from base 1 to 47 matches the Rfam family "Eukaryotic small subunit ribosomal RNA", at positions 1785 to 1831 of the family's 1831-position model. Lineage: Eukaryota; Fungi; Ascomycota. The record is from RNAcentral.
AAAGUCGUAACAAGGUCUCCGUUGGUGAACCAGCGGAGGGAUCAUUACAAGAAGCCGAAAGGCUGCUUAAAACCAUCGCGAACCUAUCCAUCAGCGUUGCUUCGGCGGGAGGAGGCCGUGGGGCCGACGUCUGCCGAGACGCCGGGCCCGGGGCCGGGACCCACGCCUCCCCAGGAGGUGCGGGGCCCGCCCGCCGGAGGUACGAAACUCUUCUGCAUCUAUAGUGGAAUCUCUGAGUAAGCAAGCAAAUAAGUCAAAACUUUCAACAACGGAUCUCUUGGUUCUG